UACGAAGGGGGCUAGCGUUGCUCGGAAUCACUGGGCGUAAAGGGUGCGUAGGCGGGUCUUUAAGCCAGGGGUGAAAUCCUGGAGCUCAACUCCAGAACUGCCUUUGAUACUGAAGAUCUUGAGUUCGGGAGAGGUGAGUGGAACUGCGAGUGUAGAGGUGAAAUUCGUAGAUAUUCGCAAGAACACCAGUGGCGAAGGCGGCUCACUGGCCCGAUACUGACGCUGAGGCACGAAAGCGUGGGGAGCAAACAGG
RNAcentral lists this ribosomal RNA (253 nucleotides) under uncultured bacterium. RNAcentral describes it as "partial 16S ribosomal RNA". It matches the Rfam family "Bacterial small subunit ribosomal RNA", at positions 524 to 776 of the family's 1533-position model. The record is from RNAcentral.